AGCUUUGUGCAGUGGCAGUAUCGUAGCCAAUGAGGUUUAUCCGAGGCGUGAUUAUUGCUAAUUGAAAACUUAUCCAGGGCCUUGACCAUGACAUGACAGCAGUGCCAUGAUAUGCGAAAGAUCUCCUGCCUGGCUGAGCUGAAGGAG
Molecule: small nuclear RNA, 147 nt
Organism: Heterocephalus glaber (naked mole-rat)
Lineage: Eukaryota; Metazoa; Chordata; Mammalia; Rodentia; Bathyergidae
Gene: U4
Rfam family: U4 spliceosomal RNA
About the family: U4 small nuclear RNA (U4 snRNA) is a component of the major U2-dependent spliceosome. The structure of U4 snRNA from yeast and human has been reported.
Source: Ensembl